CGCUAGCUACAGGCUUAACACAUGCAAGUCGAGGGGCAGCAUGGUCUUAGCUUGCUAAGGCCGAUGGCGACCGGCGCACGGGUGAGUAACACGUAUCCAACCUGCCGUCUACUCUUGGACAGCCUUCUGAAAGGAAGAUUAAUACAAGAUGGCAUCAUGAGUCCGCAUGUUCACAUGAUUAAAGGUAUUCCGGUAGACGAUGGGGAUGCGUUCCAUUAGAUAGUAGGCGGGGUAACGGCCCACCUAGUCUUCGAUGGAUAGGGGUUCUGAGAGGAAGGUCCCCCACAUUGGAACUGAGACACGGUCCAAACUCCUACGGGAGGCAGCAGUGAGGAAUAUUGGUCAAUGGGCGAGAGCCUGAACCAGCCAAGUAGCGUGAAGGAUGACUGCCCUAUGGGUUGUAAACUUCUUUUAUAAAGGAAUAAAGUCGGGUAUGCAUACCCGUUUGCAUGUACUUUAUGAAUAAGGAUCGGCUAACUCCGUGCCAGCAGCCGCGGUAAUACGGAGGAUCCGAGCGUUAUCCGGAUUUAUUGGGUUUAAAGGGAGCGUAGAUGGAUGUUUAAGUCAGUUGUGAAAGUUUGCGGCUCAACCGUAAAAUUGCAGUUGAUACUGGAUAUCUUGAGUGCAGUUGAGGCAGGCGGAAUUCGUGGUGUAGCGGUGAAAUGCUUAGAUAUCACGAAGAACUCCGAUUGCGAAGGCAGCCUGCUAAGCUGCAACUGACAUUGAGGCUCGAAAGUGUGGGUAUCAAACAGGAUUAGAUACCCUGGUAGUCCACACGGUAAACGAUGAAUACUCGCUGUUUGCGAUAUACGGCAAGCGGCCAAGCGAAAGCGUUAAGUAUUCCACCUGGGGAGUACGCCGGCAACGGUGAAACUCAAAGGAAUUGACGGGGGCCCGCACAAGCGGAGGAACAUGUGGUUUAAUUCGAUGAUACGCGAGGAACCUUACCCGGGCUUAAAUUGCAGAUGAAUUACGGUGAAAGCCGUAAGCCGCAAGGCAUCUGUGAAGGUGCUGCAUGGUUGUCGUCAGCUCGUGCCGUGAGGUGUCGGCUUAAGUGCCAUAACGAGCGCAACCCUUGUUGUCAGUUACUAACAGGUUCCGCUGAGGACUCUGACAAGACUGCCAUCGUAAGAUGUGAGGAAGGUGGGGAUGACGUCAAAUCAGCACGGCCCUUACGUCCGGGGCUACACACGUGUUACAAUGGGGGGUACAGAGGGCCGCUACCACGCGAGUGGAUGCCAAUCCCCAAAACCUCUCUCAGUUCGGACUGGAGUCUGCAACCCGACUCCACGAAGCUGGAUUCGCUAGUAAUCGCGCAUCAGCCACGGCGCGGUGAAUACGUUCCCGGGCCUUGUACACACCGCCCGUCAAGCCAUGGGAGCCGGGGGUACCUGAAGUGCGUAACCGCGAGGAGCGCCCUAGGGUAAAACUGGUGA
RNAcentral lists this ribosomal RNA (1436 nucleotides) under uncultured organism. RNAcentral describes it as "16S ribosomal RNA". It matches the Rfam family "Bacterial small subunit ribosomal RNA". The record is from RNAcentral.